This 490-nucleotide ribosomal RNA is filed under the name uncultured bacterium. RNAcentral's name for it is "partial 16S ribosomal RNA". It matches the Rfam family "Bacterial small subunit ribosomal RNA", at positions 30 to 507 of the family's 1533-position model. The record is from RNAcentral.
AUUGAACGCUGGCGGCAGGCCUAACACAUGCAAGUCGAACGGUAACAGGAAACUGCUUGCUGUUUCGCUGACGAGUGGCGGACGGGUGAGUUAUGUCUGGGAAACUGCCUGAUGGAGGGGGAUAACUACUGGAAACGGUAGCUAAUACCGCAUAACGUCGCAAGACCAAAGAGGGGGACCUUCGGGCCUCUUGCCAUCGGAUGUGCCCAGAUGGGAUUAGCUAGUAGGUGGGGUAACGGCUCACCUAGGCGACGAUCCCUAGCUGGUCUGAGAGGAUGACCAGCCACACUGGAACUGAGACACGGUCCAGACUCCUACGGGAGGCAGCAGUGGGGAAUAUUGGACAAUGGGCGCAAGCCUGAUGCAGCCAUGCCGCGUGUAUGAAGAAGGCCUUCGGGUUGUAAAGUACUUUCAGCGGGGAUGAAGGGAGUAAAGUUAAUACCUUUGCUCAUUGACGUUACCCGCAGAAGAAGCACCGGCUAACUACGUG